RNAcentral lists this ribosomal RNA (253 nucleotides) under uncultured bacterium. RNAcentral describes it as "partial 16S ribosomal RNA". It matches the Rfam family "Bacterial small subunit ribosomal RNA", at positions 524 to 776 of the family's 1533-position model. The record is from RNAcentral.
UACAAAGGGUGCGAGCGUUAAUCGGAAUUACUGGGCGUAAAGCGCGCGUAGGCGGCUUUUCAAGCCGAUUGUGAAAUCCCCGGGCUUAACCUGGGAACUGCAGUCGGGACUGUCUAGCUAGAGUAUGGGAGAGGGAAGUGGAAUUUCAGGUGUAGCGGUGAAAUGCGUAGAUAUCUGAAGGAACAUCAGUGGCGAAAGCGACUUCCUGGACCAAUACUGACGCUCAUGUGCGAAAGCGUGGGGAGCAAACAGG